AAAUCCCUUCAAAUUGGUCAAAUUACAUCAUUACCAACAUGUGGUUUGUCUGAGUGGUUAAUAUGUAAGAUUUACCUUGUGCAGCAACUAUGGUUACAUGAAUAGUUGGUUCCCAUAGGAGUUUUUAAGAGGUAAUUGUGUUAGAUGUGUGGAGUUUUUACGGGAUCUCCUGCUGGCCGUGUUCUUAGCUUUCUGUUUGGUCUU
RNAcentral lists this long non-coding RNA (204 nucleotides) under Medicago truncatula (barrel medic). RNAcentral describes it as "long non-coding RNA (MTRU_LNC007253)". The record is from RNAcentral. Lineage: Eukaryota; Viridiplantae; Streptophyta; Magnoliopsida; Fabales; Fabaceae.